Molecule: ribosomal RNA, 397 nt
Filed under: uncultured bacterium
Lineage: Bacteria
Description: partial 16S ribosomal RNA
Rfam family: Bacterial small subunit ribosomal RNA
Source: RNAcentral
AUACGUAGGUGGCAAGCGUUAUCCGGAUUUACUGGGCGUAAAGGGCGUGUAGGCGGUCUUGCAAGUCAGAAGUGAAAUUCCUGAGCUCAACUCGGGCGCUGCUUCUGAAACUGCAGGACUUGAGUGCUGGAGGGGAUAGCGGAAUUCCUAGUGGAGCGGUAAAAUGCGCAGAUAUUAGGAAGAACACCGGUGGCGAAGGCGGCUAUCGUGACAGUACCGGACGCUGAGGCGCGAAAGCGUGAGGAACAAACAGGAUUAGAUCCCCUGGUAGUCCACGCCGUAAACGAUGAAUACUAGGUGUAGGGGGUAUCGACUCCCUCUGUGCCGCAGUUAACACAAUAAGUAUUCCGCCUGGGGAGUUCGGCCGCAAGGUUGAAACUCAAAUGAAUUGGCGGGG